RNAcentral lists this long non-coding RNA (1821 nucleotides) under Olea europaea subsp. europaea. Lineage: Eukaryota; Viridiplantae; Streptophyta; Magnoliopsida; Lamiales; Oleaceae. The record is from RNAcentral.
CUUCAUUUCUCUCUCUCUCUCACGCGCCGCCCUUGGAUUCUUCAACUAUAUAUACCGCAUCGCGUCCCGCUUCCUGUUCAAUCUUCAAUCCUUCAUUUUCUCUUUAAACUCAUAUCUUUUGUUUGAAUCUUUGUUCUAAAAUUUUCAUUUCUUUUACCGAAUUUAUUGCUCGAUCGAAGAUGAAUUCAAUGUUGAGCGCUAAAUCGUGGAGUUUCUCCAUUAUCGGAUUUAUGCUGAUGGCGUUAAUCCGGUACAGUAACGGACAAGGAAUGGCGCCGUCGCCGGCACCGGCUGGAUCUUCCAACGACGGUGAGUAUCUUCAUUGGAAAUGUAUAUUUCUCUUUGUGAAACACGUGAUUUUACUCAUGAAAACUGUUCGAAAUUCUAGAUUUGUCUCAACAUCUUCAUUUUCUAUUUCAGUUGUUAAAAUCGGAAGAAAUUGCUGAAUUGUUAAUUACAGUUUCUUUGUUUCUUUUUGAAAACUUGAAUUUCUUUCUUCCAAUUUCUUCCUCCUCUUCUAUUCGUCAUCAUCAUCAUCAUCAAGUGAGCAAGGAUUUACCAAUUAUUAACUGAAAAUUCAUUGAUUUAUUUGAUGCAGGCGCGGCAAUUGAUCAAGGGAUUGCAUAUGUUCUCCUAUUUGUAGCACUCGCGAUCACGUACUUAAUCCACUGAUGUUAGUAAUUAUUUUAAAAGUUUGAAAUUAUAUUAUUAGUGCGAUUAAUUCAAUUUUAUUUUUUUUAAUGUAUUUUCUCCUAUUAUUGAGAGUAUAAAUUUGAAUUAUUUGUAUUUUCAAAUUUGCACCACUAUUGUAAAGAAACUAGUUUUAUGCCAAUGCAAUGCACGAGUUGCUGUUUUCUUAAAGUAAUGUUAGUGCGUAAGUAUCAUGGAUUUACGAGACAGAUGUACUAUAAAUGAGUUUCUGAAAACCAAAGAGAGUAUUUAAUUGAUAUAUGUUAGCAUUUUUCAGGGGUCUAGUUGUACCAAAUAUGGUAGAGGCAACAAUGACCAUGGAAUUGUUCUAACUCCUUCAUAUCGGCACAUGAAUAUCAAACUCGGUACCAUCAUCUCGUUUGCGUCCCUUAGCAAAUGUGAAAAAGAAAAUGACUAAAACGUAAAGGAAUAUAAAUAAGAUAAGGUAUACAAAUUCAUAAAAUUACAAAAGGAGUAACAUCAAAUACUAAAAUUAGCUUAAAAUAAGCAGCUAAAACAAGAAGAAAAAUGGAAAAAUGCAAACAUGACAAGCAAGGAAGAACGUCAAGAACAGAAAAACAUUUUUAUUCAUUAACUUUCUUUUCUCAUUUAGAUAUACAGCCAAUAAAACUGAGAACAUAAUAGUGUAUUAAGCAGUUAAGAAGGUCACCCAAGAGAAGCGAAUUAUUAUGUUUCCAAGCAUAUGGUCUAUAAAUCUCCAUACAAUAUCGUUCAAUAGCUUCACAAUCCUCCAGUUUUCUAAGAUAGAAGUAAAUGCCCGAUAUUGUUUACAUCCUGAGAAAUAAUCAUUUCUCAUACAUUCUAACUGAGUAACCAUAGCCAUCAACUCUUCUAUAAUUAAAGGGUUUAAUAUAGUUAAAAAUAUCAAGUUAUUGCCUUCAUCAUUUAUCUUUAAGGUGAGAGAAUUAUCAUUUAUUUCACAUGAUAUGGUCUACCGACAUAAACAUGGUGCAUUAUAAUUAGAAAUGGCAGUAUGUUGCUAUUUAGAAAUCAAACCAUGAGCACUUCAUAGAACAAACAAUAUUGGAAUCAUCUGUUUGCAAUUUCAGGGACAGAGAAUGGAGAAAGAAUGUAUACCAUGACUUUGUCAACUAGCUAUAAACUUACAAG